GACGAACGCUGGCGGCGUGCUUAACACAUGCAAGUCGAACGAUGAAGCUGGAGCUUGCUCCGGUGGAUUAGUGGCGAACGGGUGAGUAACACGUGAGCAAUCUGCCCUUGACUCUGGGAUAACUGCGGGAAACUGUAGCUAAUACCGGAUACUUUCACUGGAAGGCAUCUUCUGGUGAAGAAAGAAUUUCGGUCAAGGAUGAGCCCGCGGCCUAUCAGCUUGUUGGUGAGGUAACGGCUCACCAAGGCGACGACGGGUAGCCGGCCUGAGAGGGUGACCGGCCACACUGGGACUGAGACACGGCCCAGACUCCUACGGGAGGCAGCAGUGGGGAAUAUUGCACAAUGGGCGCAAGCCUGAUGCAGCAACGCCGCGUGAGGGAUGAAGGCCUUCGGGUUGUAAACCUCUUUUAGCAGGGAAGAAGCGAAAGUGACGGUACCUGCAGAAGAAGCACCGGCUAACUACGUGCCAGCAGCCGCCGUAA
RNAcentral lists this ribosomal RNA (484 nucleotides) under uncultured bacterium. RNAcentral describes it as "partial 16S ribosomal RNA". It matches the Rfam family "Bacterial small subunit ribosomal RNA", at positions 28 to 523 of the family's 1533-position model. The record is from RNAcentral.